CUGCUUGUUUUGAUCGCACCACCAAAUCAACGAUCUCGAUUGACUCGCUCUCUUCAAGCAACCCAGAGGUAAAGGUCUGAUAGAGAAAGAAGGCGACGUCCAUGGCGCCUACGACACUGACGGCUCUUGCAGGCGAGAAGACUCUUCAGUCGAGCUUCGUCCGUGACGAAGAUGAACGUCCCAAGGUGGCCUACAACGACUUCAGCAACGAAAUUCCUGUCAUCUCUCUCGAAGGAAUCGAUGAAGUUGGCGGCCGUCGUGAUGAGAUUUGCAGGAAAAUCGUGGAGGCCUGCGAGGACUGGGGGAUUUUCCAAGUUGUUAAUCACGGUGUUGAUUCUAAUCUCAUUUCGGAGAUGACUCGCCUGGCUCGGGAAUUCUUCGCUCUUCCGCCGGAGGAGAAGCUCCGCUUCGACAUGUCUGGUGGCAAGAAAGGCGGCUUCAUCGUUUCCAGCCAUCUUCAAGUAAUUCUCUGAAUUCUUUUGCUCCACUUCAUACCUUCAUCAUCACAUGGAGAGUUGUUCUGAAUUUUGUUUAGUUGAAAAACAGAACCCCUGUUUAGAAACUACCCUUGGGUCUUGGCCUGAUUUUUCAUGUUUUACCUUUCUACAAGAAAAUGUAUUUUCUUUCAUGAGGAACCCAAAUGGUUACUUUCAAAAUUAAUUGCAGGGAGAAGCAGUGCAAGACUGGCGCGAGAUCGUAACCUACUUCUCCUACCCACUACGAACCAGGGACUACUCGAGGUGGCCAGACAAGCCAGAGGGGUGGAGAUCGGUGACACAGGAGUACAGCGAGAAGCUCAUGGGGUUGGCCUGCAAGUUGCUGGAGGUGUUGUCUGAGGCCAUGGAUUUGGACAAGGACGCUUUGACCAAUGCUUGUGUGGACAUGGACCAGAAGGUUGUGGUCAAUUUCUACCCCCAAUGCCCACAGCCAGACCUCACCCUCGGACUCAAGCGGCAUACCGAUCCGGGAACCAUCACGCUGCUCCUUCAGGAUCAGGUGGGAGGGCUCCAGGCCACUAGGGAUGGCGGAAAGACUUGGAUCACCGUUCAACCUGUUGAAGGAGCUUUCGUCGUCAACCUUGGCGACCACGGUCAUGUAAGCAUCAUAACCGGCGAAAGGCUGAAGCUAAUCUUUUCUUUGUCUUUGUCUUUUAAUUUAAUUUUAUAGAUAAGGUAGAAAUUCUCUUGUUCAUUGGUUUUCUUUAUGUGGUCAACAUCCACAAUAGUCCUUCCUGAUAUGGUAUUCAAAUUCAUGCUACCCGAACCCGAAAGAGAGAGUGAUUAUUGGUUUGGUAUGGUGCAGUAUCUGAGCAAUGGGAGGUUCAAGAAUGCUGAUCACCAAGCGGUGGUGAACUCCAAUCAUAGCAGACUGUCCAUAGCAACAUUCCAAAACCCCGCACCGGAGGCAAC
This 1409-nucleotide long non-coding RNA is filed under the name Vitis vinifera (wine grape). RNAcentral's name for it is "long non-coding RNA (VVIN_LNC001196)". The record is from RNAcentral. Lineage: Eukaryota; Viridiplantae; Streptophyta; Magnoliopsida; Vitales; Vitaceae.